CAAGUACUCCCUCCGUCCGGAAUUACUUGUCAUCAAAAUGGAUGUGUCUAGAACUAAAAUACAUCUAGAUACAUCCAUUUCAAUGAUAAGUAUUUUCGGGCGAAAGGAGUACAAG
This is a non-coding RNA of Triticum aestivum (bread wheat), 115 nucleotides long. The record is from Rfam. NCBI's taxonomy places the organism in Eukaryota, Viridiplantae, Streptophyta, Magnoliopsida, Poales, Poaceae.